UCACCGGCUUUAUUAAAAGCUAUAUAUCUAAACCAAGGUAAGUUUU
Molecule: non-coding RNA, 46 nt
Organism: Aedes aegypti (yellow fever mosquito)
Lineage: Eukaryota; Metazoa; Arthropoda; Insecta; Diptera; Culicidae
Source: Rfam